GCCGCCGUAGCUCAGUGGAACAGAGCGAUCGCCUCCUACGCGAAAGGCCGCACGUUCGUGCCGGCGGCACCA
RNAcentral lists this transfer RNA (72 nucleotides) under Burkholderia territorii. RNAcentral's name for it is "tRNA-Arg". It matches the Rfam family "tRNA". From Rfam's summary of the family: Transfer RNA (tRNA) molecules are approximately 80 nucleotides in length. Their secondary structure includes four short double-helical elements and three loops (D, anti-codon, and T loops). Further hydrogen bonds mediate the characteristic L-shaped molecular structure. tRNAs have two regions of fundamental functional importance: the anti-codon, which is responsible for specific mRNA codon recognition, and the 3' end, to which the tRNAs corresponding amino acid is attached (by aminoacyl-tRNA synthetases). tRNAs cope with the degeneracy of the genetic code in two manners: having more than one tRNA (with a specific anti-codon) for a particular amino acid; and 'wobble' base-pairing, i.e. permitting non-standard base-pairing at the 3rd anti-codon position. The record is from RNAcentral. Lineage: Bacteria; Pseudomonadati; Pseudomonadota; Betaproteobacteria; Burkholderiales; Burkholderiaceae.